GAUGAACGCUAGCUACAGGCUUAACACAUGCAAGUCGCAGGGUAACAUGAGGAAAGCUUGCUUUCCUUGAUGACGACUGGCGCACGGGUGAGUAACGCGUAUCCAACCUUCCCAUAACUACGGGAUAACCCGUUGAAAGACGGCCUAAUACCGUAUGAUAUCGUUUGCUGACAUCAAAUAACGAUUAAAGGUUUAGCGGUUAUGGAUGGGGAUGCGUCUGAUUAGCUUGUUGGCGGGGUAACGGCCCACCAAGGCAACGAUCAGUAGGGGUUCUGAGAGGAAGGUCCCCCACAUUGGAACUGAGACACGGUCCAAACUCCUACGGGAGGCAGCAGUGAGGAAUAUUGGUCAAUGGGCGAGAGCCUGAACCAGCCAAGUAGCGUGCAGGAAGACGGCCCUAUGGGUUGUAAACUGCUUUUAUGUGGGGAUAAAGUGCGUGACGUGUCAUGCAUUGCAGGUACCACAUGAAUAAGGACCGGCUAAUUCCGUGCCAGCAGCCGCGGUAAAAGGG
This 511-nucleotide ribosomal RNA is filed under the name uncultured Bacteroidales bacterium. Its description in RNAcentral is "bacterial SSU rRNA". It matches the Rfam family "Bacterial small subunit ribosomal RNA", at positions 28 to 528 of the family's 1533-position model. Lineage: Bacteria; Pseudomonadati; Bacteroidota; Bacteroidia; Bacteroidales. The record is from RNAcentral.